RNAcentral lists this long non-coding RNA (416 nucleotides) under Nicotiana benthamiana. Its description in RNAcentral is "long non-coding RNA (NBEN_LNC022669)". Lineage: Eukaryota; Viridiplantae; Streptophyta; Magnoliopsida; Solanales; Solanaceae. The record is from RNAcentral.
AGAGAAAUUAGGAUAACAAUUGAAAUAAACAGGGCCUCCUGCUAAAUUACUUUUUUUAUAUUCCAAAAGGCAGUAGGAAGAUUUGAACAAACUACGUAGUUGGAAGAAUUGUAACAAGGUUUUAUUAAGUCUUGGACUCGACCGGAUUCAAACUCUUUAUCAAGGGCUAGUAUGGGAGAAACCUUAGUGGUUAAGAAUUCAAAAGACUCAAUGGGCUGAGAAGAGGAAUUUUUGAUUUGGACUUUUGGGUCCACAGCUUGGGCAAAAGACUCGGGGAUCUUCAUUUCAUAACUAAGUUUAUUCUGGACCUUGGAAGUGGAUCCAGAGGAUGAUUCAGGCUUUGGGCCUGGGAAUUUUGGAAGUUCUCCUAGAACAGUAAAUUUGUUUUGGCUUUGGGCCGGACUGGGAAGAGGAGG